This 156-nucleotide ribosomal RNA is filed under the name uncultured bacterium. RNAcentral describes it as "partial 16S ribosomal RNA". It matches the Rfam family "Bacterial small subunit ribosomal RNA", at positions 360 to 533 of the family's 1533-position model. The record is from RNAcentral.
AAUAUUGGACAAUGGGCGAAAGCCUGAUCCAGCAAUGCCGCGUGAGUGAUGAAGGCCUUAGGGUUGUAAAGCUCUUUUACCCGGGAAGAUAAUGACGGUACCGGGAGAAUAAGCCCCGGCUAACUCCCUGCCAACAGCCCCGGUAAUACGGAGGGG